This 508-nucleotide ribosomal RNA is filed under the name uncultured bacterium. Its description in RNAcentral is "partial 16S ribosomal RNA". It matches the Rfam family "Bacterial small subunit ribosomal RNA", at positions 28 to 507 of the family's 1533-position model. The record is from RNAcentral.
GACGAACGCUGGCGGCGUGCCUAAUACAUGCAAGUCGAACGCUUCUUUCCUCCCGAGUGCUUGCACUCAAUUGGAAAGAGGAGUGGCGGACGGGUGAGUAACACGUGUGUAACCUACCCAUCAGUGGGGGAUAACACUUGGAAACAGGUGCUAAUACCGCACAACAGUUUAUGCCGCAUGGCAUAAGAGUGAAUGGCGCUUUCGGGUGUCGCUGAUGGAUGGACCCGCGGUGCAUUAGCUAGUUGGUGAGGUAACGGCUCACCAAGGCCACGAUGCAUAGCCGACCUGUGAGGGUGAUAGGCCACACGGGGACUGAGACACGGCCCAGACUCCUACGGGAGGCAGCAGUAGGGAAUCUUCGGCAAUGGACGAAAGUCUGACCGAGCAACGCCGCGUGAGUGAAGAAGGUUUUCGGAUCGUAAAACUCUGUUGUUAGAGAAGAACAAGGACGUUAGUAACUGAACGUCCCCUGACGGUAUCUAACCAGAAAGCCACGGCUAACUACGUG